This 426-nucleotide ribosomal RNA is filed under the name uncultured bacterium. RNAcentral describes it as "bacterial SSU rRNA". It matches the Rfam family "Bacterial small subunit ribosomal RNA", at positions 30 to 504 of the family's 1533-position model. The record is from RNAcentral.
CGAACGCUGGCGGCAGGCCUAACACAUGCAAGUCGAGCGCACCUUCGGGUGAGCGGCGGACGGGUGAGUAACGCGUGGGAACGUACCCUUCUCUGCGGAAUAGCCACUGGAAACGGUGAGUAAUACCGCAUACGCCCUUCGGGGGAAAGAUUUAUCGGGGAAGGAUCGGCCCGCGUCUGAUUAGGUAGUUGGUGGGGUAAUGGCCUACCAAGCCUACGAUCAGUAGCUGGUUUUAGAGGAUGAUCAGCCACACUGGGACUGAGACACGGCCCAGACUCCUACGGGAGGCAGCAGUGGGGAAUCUUAGACAAUGGGCGCAAGCCUGAUCUAGCCAUGCCGCGUGAGUGAUGAAGGCCUUAGGGUCGUAAAGCUCUUUCGCCAGGGAUGAUAAUGACAGUACCUGGUAAAGAAACCCCGGCUAACUCC